This 555-nucleotide ribosomal RNA is filed under the name uncultured bacterium. RNAcentral describes it as "partial 16S ribosomal RNA". It matches the Rfam family "Bacterial small subunit ribosomal RNA", at positions 355 to 902 of the family's 1533-position model. The record is from RNAcentral.
UGGGGAAUUUUGGACAAUGGGCGAAAGCCUGAUCCAGCAAUGCCGCGUGUGUGAAGAAGGCCUUCGGGUUGUAAAGCACUUUUGUCCGGAAAGAAAUCCUUGGCUCUAAUACAGUCGGGGGAUGACGGUACCGGAAGAAUAAGCACCUGCUAACUACGUGCCAGCAGCCGCGGUAAUACGUAGGGUGCAAGCGUUAAUCGGAAUUACUGGGCGUAAAGCGUGCGCAGGCGGUUUGCUAAGACCGAUGUGAAAUCCCCGGGCUCAACCUGGGAACUGCAUUGGUGACUGGCAGGCUAGAGUAUGGCAGAGGGGGGUAGAAUUCCACGUGUAGCAGUGAAAUGCGUAGAGAUGUGGAGGAAUACCGAUGGCGAAGGCAGCCCCCUGGGCCAAUACUGACGCUCAUGCACGAAAGCGUGGGGAGCAAACAGGAUUAGAUACCCUGGUAGUCCACGCCCUAAACGAUGUCAACUAGUUGUUGGGGAUUCAUUUCCUUAGUAACGUAGCUAACGCGUGAAGUUGACCGCCUGGGGAGUACGGUCGCAAGAUUAAAAGCUC